Molecule: ribosomal RNA, 468 nt
Filed under: uncultured bacterium
Lineage: Bacteria
Description: partial 16S ribosomal RNA
Rfam family: Bacterial small subunit ribosomal RNA
Source: RNAcentral
GACGAACGCUGGCGGCGUGCUUAACACAUGCAAGUCGAACGGAAAGGCCCUGCUUUUGUGGGGUGCUCGAGUGGCGAACGGGUGAGUAACACGUGAGUAACCUGCCCUUGACUUUGGGAUAACUUCAGGAAACUGGGGCUAAUACCGGAUAGGAGCUCCUGCUGCAUGGUGGGGGUUGGAAAGUUUCGGCGGUUGGGGAUGGACUCGCGGCUUAUCAGCUUGUUGGUGGGGUAGUGGCUUACCAAGGCUUUGACGGGUAGCCGGCCUGGGAGGGUGACCGGCGACAUUGGGACUGAGGUACGGCCCAGACUCCUACGGGAGGCAGCAGUGGGGAAUAUUGCGCAAUGGGCGGAAGCCUGAUGCAGCAGCGCCGCGUGCGGGAUGACGGCCUUCGGGUUGUAAACCGCUUUCGCCUGUGACGAAGCGUGAGUGACGGUAAUGGGUAAAGAAGCACCGGCUAACUACGUG